GAUGAACGCUGGCGGCGUGCCUAAUACAUGCAAGUCGAGCGAACAGACGAGGAGCUUGCUCCUCUGACGUUAGCGGCGGACGGGUGAGUAACACGUGGAUAACCUCCCUAUAAGACUGGGAUAACUUCGGGAAACCGGAGCUAAUACCGGAUAACAUGUUGAACCGCAUGGUUCAACAGUGAAAGACGGUUUUGCUGUCACUUAUAGAUGGAUCCGCGUCGCAUUAGCUAGUUGGUAAGGUAACGGCUUACCAAGGCAACGAUGCGUAGCCGACCUGAGAGGGUGAUCGGCCACACUGGAACUGAGACACGGUCCAGACUCCUACGGGAGGCAGCAGUAGGGAAUCUUCCGCAAUGGGCGAAAGCCUGACGGAGCAACGCCGCGUGAGUGAAGAAGGUCUUCGGAUCGUAGAACUCUGUUAUUAGGGAAGAACAAAUGUGUAAGUAACUAUGCACGUCUUGACGGUACCUGAUCAGAAAGCCACGGCUAACUACGUG
This 497-nucleotide ribosomal RNA is filed under the name uncultured bacterium. Its description in RNAcentral is "partial 16S ribosomal RNA". It matches the Rfam family "Bacterial small subunit ribosomal RNA", at positions 28 to 507 of the family's 1533-position model. The record is from RNAcentral.